Bufo bufo (common toad) is the source of this 431-nucleotide long non-coding RNA. RefSeq lists it as uncharacterized. The record is from RefSeq and is a predicted model, not a curated record. The transcript is spliced from 3 exons. Lineage: Eukaryota; Metazoa; Chordata; Amphibia; Anura; Bufonidae.
GGCAAAUAUAUACUUGAGUGGAUGCAUCAAAAGCUAUAAACAGGAGAGGGAUAGAAAAGAGAAACUCAGAGAUGUCUUCAUUGUUAAUGGCUUUGCUGUAACCGACAAAACUGUGUUCCCAUUAACAAACGAAUACUGAAUAAACAAAGUGUUCUAAUUAAAAGGGGUUAUUUCAUUUUGCUUUUACUAAGGUGACAUAAGAUUAAGUCAUGACCUCCAGGUGGCAGUACAUGGGAGCUACAGAAACAGCGUAGCACAGCAAGCUAUGCUGUUUCCAUAAUGAAGAGAAUACCACACUUGGUAAGACCUGAGCGCAAAGAGUUUGAUACGAGAAAAUUGAACAUUUCUUACCUCGUCAACUGUCUGGGCUGGGUGAAGUCGGAAGUUGACAGUAGCUCUUGCCAUGGGAGGGAUCACAUUUUCCUGAAUAA